GACGAACGCUGGCGGCGUGCUUAACACAUGCAAGUCGAACGCUGAAGCCUGGCUUUUGUUGGGUGGAUGAGUGGCGAACGGGUGAGUAACACGUGAGUAACCUGCCCCCUUCUUUGGGAUAACGCCCGGAAACGGGUGCUAAUACUGGAUAUUCACUGGUCUUCGCAUGGGGGUUGGUGGAAAGGGUUUUCUGGUGGGGGAUGGGCUCGCGACCUAUCAGCUUGUUGGUGGGGUGAUGGCCUACCAAGGCUUUGACGGGUAGCCGGCCUGAGAGGGUGACCGGUCACAUUGGGACUGAGACACGGCCCAGACUCCUACGGGAGGCAGCAGUGGGGAAUAUUGCACAAUGGGCGCAAGCCUGAUGCAGCGACGCCGCGU
RNAcentral lists this ribosomal RNA (378 nucleotides) under Actinomyces sp. oral taxon 180. Its description in RNAcentral is "bacterial SSU rRNA". It matches the Rfam family "Bacterial small subunit ribosomal RNA", at positions 28 to 402 of the family's 1533-position model. Lineage: Bacteria; Bacillati; Actinomycetota; Actinomycetes; Actinomycetales; Actinomycetaceae. The record is from RNAcentral.